AUAAUAAUAACAAUAAAGAAGAAUGCAGUCCAGAGAAAGUAAUGAAUUUGUCUGAAAGUAAUCGGUAAAGAAAGGCCAAUGAAACAUGAUGAUUAUCAAAUUAGAUCAUCUGAUUUAUUUGAAAGAAAAAAAGAAAAAUAUGUACAAAUAAAAUGGGAGCUUUUGCCCCAUCAGAGGAUGACAAUAAAUUGUAUGUACACAUCUGUACAAGAGUUAUAUUUGUAUAACCAACUUUUGAGAAUUGAGAGGAUACCUUUUAAAAGUCAAAGUACUUGGGAUCCGAUGGAUAA
RNAcentral lists this unclassified non-coding RNA (290 nucleotides) under Hevea brasiliensis (rubber tree). Lineage: Eukaryota; Viridiplantae; Streptophyta; Magnoliopsida; Malpighiales; Euphorbiaceae. The record is from RNAcentral.